RNAcentral lists this ribosomal RNA (635 nucleotides) under uncultured organism. RNAcentral describes it as "bacterial SSU rRNA". It matches the Rfam family "Bacterial small subunit ribosomal RNA", at positions 818 to 1471 of the family's 1533-position model. The record is from RNAcentral.
AGGUGUGGGAUCGAAUGGGUCCGUGCCGGAGCGAACGCGAUAAGCAUUCCGCCUGGGGAGUACGGCCGCAAGGUUAAUACUCAAACGAAUUGACGGUGCCCCGCACAAGCAGCGGAGCGUGUGGUUUAAUUCGAUGCUACACGAAGAACCUUACCUGGGUUUGACAUGUAGGUGGUAGUGAAUCGAAAGGUGAACGACCCUUCGGGGAGCCUACACAGGUGCUGCAUGGCUGUCGUCAGCUCGUGCCGUGAGGUGUCGGGUUAAGUCCCGUAACGAGCGCAACCCUUGCUCCUAGUUACAAGUGUCUAGGGGGACUGCCGGCGGAAAGCCGGAGGAAGGUGGGGAUGACGUCAAGUCAGCAUGGCCCUUAUAUCCAGGGCUACACACACGCUACAAUGGUCGGUACAAAGGGCAGCGAAACCGCGAGGCGGAGCGAAUCCGAGAAAAGCCGAUCGUAGUUCGGAUAGCAGGCUGCAACCCGCCUGCUUGAAGCUGGAGUUGCUAGUAACCGCGCGUCAGCCAUAGCGCGGUGAUACGUUCCCGGGGCUUGUACACACCGCCCGUCACGUCAUGGGAGUCGUAACGCCUGAGCCGUAGUCUAACUGGAACAGGAACGCUGCCGAGGGCGGGACUGG